Molecule: long non-coding RNA, 766 nt
Filed under: Homo sapiens (human)
Lineage: Eukaryota; Metazoa; Chordata; Mammalia; Primates; Hominidae
Description: HSALNT0270240
Source: RNAcentral
GCACAGCACAGAGUCAGCCCGUGGCCUUCCCACCCAGCACGGAGCCUGCCUUCAUCACCGUGCCCCAGAGGGGCUUCGGAGAGCCCUUUGUGCUGAACCCUGGCACCUGGGCCCUGCGUGUGGAGGCCGAAGGGGUGCUCCUGGACUACGUGGUUCUGCUGCCUAGCGCAUACUACGAGGCGGCGCUCCUGCAGCUGCGGGUGACUGAGGCCUGCACAUACCGUCCCUCUGCCCAGCAGUCUGGCGACAACUGCCUCCUCUACACACACCUCCCCCUGGAUGGCUUCCCCUCGGCCGCCGGGCUGGAGGCCCUGUGUCGCCAGGACAACAGCCUGCCCCGGCCCUGCCCCACGGAGCAGCUCAGCCCGUCGCACCCGCCACUGAUCACCUGCACGGGCAGUGAUGUGGACGUCCAGCUUCAAGUGGCAGUGCCACAGCCAGGCCGCUAUGCCCUAGUGGUGGAGUACGCCAAUGAGGAUGCCCGCCAGGAGGUGGGCGUGGCCGUGCACACCCCACAGCGGGCCCCCCAGCAGGGGCUGCUCUCCCUGCACCCCUGCCUGUACAGCACCCUGUGCCGGGGCACUGCCCGGGAUACCCAGGACCACCUGGCUGUCUUCCACCUGGACUCGGAGGCCAGCGUGAGGCUCACAGCCGAACAGGCACGCUUCUUCCUGCCGCGUCUCCCACCGUUGUGUCAGCGGAUAAGUUGCCGUGUUCCGAGACACCAACCUCACAUGGCCGCACGGAAAGGGAGCACCCAUUUGCG